Molecule: long non-coding RNA, 528 nt
Organism: Triticum dicoccoides
Lineage: Eukaryota; Viridiplantae; Streptophyta; Magnoliopsida; Poales; Poaceae
Exons: 3
Source: RefSeq, a predicted model, not a curated record
UCAGUCUGAUUAUUUACCGAAGAUUUCUCUGAAAAUGCUCUCUAUGGAGAAGAAGAAGACACAACAGGUUCCUAGGAAUGCUCAUCGAAUUUCAGAUCAAAACAACUCCCGUAAGCCACAUACGCAGGCCUCUCAAAAGCGUGCUCGUCUGAACUACUGAUUACUCUUGAUCGUUGUCACAAGUGGACUGGAACAAACGCCAUGUUGAAGAAUAAUCAAGGAUCUGCGAUUGACUUCUACUUGACCUGCUACUUGGCGUUUGAUAAUAAUAAAAACUCCAAUAGAACUUUAAAAUAACUAUUCGUCUUGGACUCCGAGUGUCACUUUAUCAGUAUUGCUUAUUGUUGUUGUAUUGGCGUGGGUUAUGACUUUAAAUGUGCCACUCUCAGUGUUACGCAGUCUGAUAAAAAUUGUAUUGAUAUGGUUUACAUAGUAGAAAUAAAACCAUUUAUAUUGUUUGCGUAGUACAAAUAAAUCAUGUCUCAAUGCAUGUAUGACCCGAUACUUAUUAUCAGUUUCUUAUCCGAG